Molecule: ribosomal RNA, 827 nt
Filed under: uncultured Staphylococcus sp.
Lineage: Bacteria; Bacillati; Bacillota; Bacilli; Caryophanales; Staphylococcaceae
Description: bacterial SSU rRNA
Rfam family: Bacterial small subunit ribosomal RNA
Source: RNAcentral
AACGGACGAGAAGCUUGCUUCUCUGAUGUUAGCGGCGGACGGGUGAGUAACACGUGGAUAACCUACCUAUAAGACUGGGAUAACUUCGGGAAACGGAGCUAAUACCGGAUAAUAUUUUGAACCGCAUGGUUCAAAAGUGAAAGACGGUCUUGCUGUCACUUAUAGAUGGAUCCGCGCUGCAUUAGCUAGUUGGUAAGGUAACGGCUUACCAAGGCAACGAUGCAUAGCCGACCUGAGAGGGUGAUCGGCCACACUGGAACUGAGACACGGUCCAGACUCCUACGGGAGGCAGCAGUAGGGAAUCUUCCGCAAUGGGCGAAAGCCUGACGGAGCAACGCCGCGUGAGUGAUGAAGGUCUUCGGAUCGUAAAACUCUGUUAUUAGGGAAGAACAUAUGUGUAAGUAACUGUGCACAUCUUGACGGUACCUAAUCAGAAAGCCACGGCUAACUACGUGCCAGCAGCCGCGGUAAUACGUAGGUGGCAAGCGUUAUCCGGAAUUAUUGGGCGUAAAGCGCGCGUAGGCGGUUUUUUAAGUCUGAUGUGAAAGCCCACGGCUCAACCGUGGAGGGUCAUUGGAAACUGGAAAACUUGAGUGCAGAAGAGGAAAGUGGAAUUCCAUGUGUAGCGGUGAAAUGCGCAGAGAUAUGGAGGAACACCAGUGGCGAAGGCGACUUUCUGGUCUGUAACUGACGCUGAUGUGCGAAAGCGUGGGGAUCAAACAGGAUUAGAUACCCUGGUAGUCCACGCCGUAAACGAUGAGCUGCCUAAGUGUUAGGGGGUUUCCGCCCCUUAGUGCUGCAGCUAACGCAUUAAGCACUCCGCCUGG